Molecule: ribosomal RNA, 429 nt
Filed under: Bacteroidota bacterium
Lineage: Bacteria; Pseudomonadati; Bacteroidota
Description: Bacteroidetes bacterium partial 16S ribosomal RNA
Rfam family: Bacterial small subunit ribosomal RNA
Source: RNAcentral
UAGGGAAUCUUCCGCAAUGGACGCAAGUCUGACGGAGCAACGCCGCGUGAGUGAAGAAGGAUUUCGGUUCGUAAAACUCUGUUGUUAGAGAAGAACAGCGCAUAGAGUAACUGUUAUGCGUGUGACGGUAUCUAACCAGAAAGCCACGGCUAACUACGUGCCAGCAGCCGCGGUAAUACGUAGUUGGCAAGCGUUGUCCGGAUUUAUUGGGCGUAAAGCGAGCGCAGGCGGUCAAUUAAGUCUGAUGUGAAAGCCCCCGGCUCAACCGGGGAGGGAAGUUGGAAACUGGGUGACUUGAGUGCAGAAAAGGGGAGUGGAAUUCCAUGUGUAACGGUGAAAUGCGUAGAUAUAUGGGGGAACACCCGUGGCGAAAGCGGCUCUCCGGUCUGUAACUGACGCUGAGGCUCGAAAGCGUGGGGAGCGAACAGG